AGGCUUACCUGGCAGGGGAGAUACCAUGAUCAUGAAGGUGGUUUUCCCAGGGCGAGGCUCAUCCAUUGCACUCUGAAUGUGCUAACCUCUGCGAUUUCCCCAAAUGUGGGAAACUCAACUGCAUAAUUUGUGGUAGUGGGGUACUGCGUUCGCACUUUCCCAUG
Molecule: small nuclear RNA, 164 nt
Organism: Callithrix jacchus (white-tufted-ear marmoset)
Lineage: Eukaryota; Metazoa; Chordata; Mammalia; Primates; Cebidae
Gene: U1
Rfam family: U1 spliceosomal RNA
About the family: U1 is a small nuclear RNA (snRNA) component of the spliceosome (involved in pre-mRNA splicing). Its 5' end forms complementary base pairs with the 5' splice junction, thus defining the 5' donor site of an intron. There are significant differences in sequence and secondary structure between metazoan and yeast U1 snRNAs, the latter being much longer (568 nucleotides as compared to 164 nucleotides in human).
Source: Ensembl